AAAGUCGUAACAAGGUUUCCGUAGGUGAACCUGCGGAAGGAUCAUUACAGAGUUCAUGCCCUCACGGGUAGACCUCCCACCCUUGUGUAUUUAUACUAUGUUGCUUUGGCAGGUUGCUGCCCCCCUCGGGGGACAGCCCCAGCGCCUUCGGGCCUGGGAGUCGCCUGCCGGAGGAAAAACAAACUCUGAAUUGUUAGUGUCGUCUGAGUACUAUAUUUUAAUAGUUAAAACUUUCAACAACGGAUCUCUUGGUUCUG
This 257-nucleotide unclassified non-coding RNA is filed under the name Ascomycota sp. RNAcentral's name for it is "partial contains small subunit ribosomal RNA, internal transcribed spacer 1, and 5.8S ribosomal RNA". The stretch from base 1 to 47 matches the Rfam family "Eukaryotic small subunit ribosomal RNA", at positions 1785 to 1831 of the family's 1831-position model. Lineage: Eukaryota; Fungi; Ascomycota. The record is from RNAcentral.